UGCAAGUCGGACGGUAGCACAGGAGAGCUUGCUCUUUGGGUGACGAGUGGCGGACGGGUGAGUAAUGUCUGGGAAACUGCCCGAUGGAGGGGGAUAACUACUGGAAACGGUAGCUAAUACCGCAUAACGUCGCAAGACCAAAGUGGGGGACCUUCGGGCCUCACACCAUCGGAUGUGCCCAGAUGGGAUUAGCUAGUAGGCGGGGUAAUGGCCCACCUAGGCGACGAUCCCUAGCUGGUCUGAGAGGAUGACCAGCCACACUGGAACUGAGACACGGUCCAGACUCCUACGGGAGGCAGCAGUGGGGAAUAUUGCACAAUGGGCGCAAGCCUGAUGCAGCCAUGCCGCGUGUAUGAAGAAGGCCUUCGGGUUGUAAAGUACUUUCAGCGGGGAGGAAGGCGAUGCGGUUAAUAACCGCGUCGAUUGACGUUACCCGCAGAAGAAGCACCGGCUAACUCCGUGCCAGCAGCCGCGGUAAUACGGAGGGUGCAAGCGUUAAUCGGAAUUACUGGGCGUAAAGCGCACGCAGGCGGUCUGUUAAGUCAGAUGUGAAAUCCCCGGGCUCAACCCGGGAACUGCAUUUGAAACUGGCAGGCUUGAGUCUCGUAGAGGGGGGUAGAAUUCCAGGUGUAGCGGUGAAAUGCGUAGAGAUCUGGAGGAAUACCGGUGGCGAAGGCGGCCCCCUGGACGAAGACUGACGCUCAGGUGCGAAAGCGUGGGGAGCAAACAGGAUUAGAUACCCUGGUAGUCCACGCCGUAAACGAUGUCGACUUGGAGGUUGUGCCCUUGAGGCGUGGCUUCCGGAGCUAACGCGUUAAGUCGACCGCCUGGGGAGUACGGCCGCAAGGUUAAAACUCAAAUGAAUUGACGGGGGCCCGCACAAGCGGUGGAGCAUGUGGUUUAAUUCGAUGCAACGCGAAGAACCUUACCUACUCUUGACAUCCAGAGAACUUAGCAGAGAUGCUUUGGUGCCUUCGGGAACUCUGAGACAGGUGCUGCAUGGCUGUCGUCAGCUCGUGUUGUGAAAUGUUGGGUUAAGUCCCGCAACGAGCGCA
RNAcentral lists this ribosomal RNA (1055 nucleotides) under Pantoea dispersa. Its description in RNAcentral is "bacterial SSU rRNA". It matches the Rfam family "Bacterial small subunit ribosomal RNA", at positions 56 to 1100 of the family's 1533-position model. Lineage: Bacteria; Pseudomonadati; Pseudomonadota; Gammaproteobacteria; Enterobacterales; Erwiniaceae. The record is from RNAcentral.